CGUUUCUUUGCUGGCGACCGGCGCACGGUGAGUAACACGUAUCCAACCUGCCCUUUACUCGGGGAUAGCCUUUCGAAAGAAAGAUUAAUACCCGAUAGCAUAAUGAUUCCGCAUGGUUUCAUUAUUAAAGGAUCCGUAAAGGAUGGGGAUGCGUUCCAUUAGGUUGUUGGUGAGGUAACGGCUCACCAAGCCUUCGAUGGAUAGGGGUUCUGAGAGGAAGGUCCCCCACAUUGGAACUGAGACACGGUCCAA
This 252-nucleotide ribosomal RNA is filed under the name uncultured bacterium. RNAcentral's name for it is "partial 16S ribosomal RNA". It matches the Rfam family "Bacterial small subunit ribosomal RNA", at positions 78 to 334 of the family's 1533-position model. The record is from RNAcentral.